RNAcentral lists this ribosomal RNA (810 nucleotides) under uncultured Acidobacteriota bacterium. Its description in RNAcentral is "bacterial SSU rRNA". It matches the Rfam family "Bacterial small subunit ribosomal RNA", at positions 56 to 897 of the family's 1533-position model. Lineage: Bacteria; Pseudomonadati; Acidobacteriota. The record is from RNAcentral.
UGCAAGUCGAACGAGAAAGUGGAGCAAUCCAUGAGUAAAGUGGCGCACGGGUGAGUAACACGUGACUAACCUACCCUGGAGUGGGGGAUAACUGAGGGAAACCUUAGCUAAUACCGCAUAAUACCUACGGGUCAAAGGAGCAAUUCGCUUUAGGAGGGGGUCGCGGCAGAUUAGCUAGUUGGCGGGGUAAUGGCCCACCAAGGCAGUGAUCUGUAUCCGGCCUGAGAGGGCGCACGGACACACUGGAACUGAAACACGGUCCAGACUCCUACGGGAGGCAGCAGUGGGGAAUUUUGCGCAAUGGGGGAAACCCUGACGCAGCAACGCCGCGUGGAGGAUGAAGUCUCUUGGGACGUAAACUCCUUUCGAUCGGGAAGAUAAUGACGGUACCGAUAGAAGAAGCCCCGGCUAACUUCGUGCCAGCAGCCGCGGUAAUACGAGGGGGGCAAGCGUUGUUCGGAAUUAUUGGGCGUAAAGGGUGUGUAGGCGGUUUGGUAAGUCUUGUGUGAAAUCUUCGGGCUCAACUCGAAGUCUGCACGAGAAACUGCCGGGCUUGAGUGUGGGAGAGGUGAGUGGAAUUUCCGGUGUAGCGGUGAAAUGCGUAGAUAUCGGAAGGAACACCUGUGGCGAAAGCGGCUCACUGGACCACAACUGACGCUGAGACACGAAAGCUAGGGGAGCAAACAGGAUUAGAUACCCUGGUAGUCCUAGCCCUAAACGAUGAUCGCUUGGUGUGACGGGUACCCAAUCCCGCCGUGCCGAAGCUAACGCGUUAAGCGAUCCGCCUGGGGAGUACGGUCGCAAGGCUGA